AAGUUACAACUUACAUGUUACUUUCUUUCUCUUUGAACCUCAGAUGAUAUGAUUUUCUCUAUUGUUUUCUUCGUUUUACUGCUUUCUUACAAAUACACAACAGGAAAUAACCACAAAAGUGACCAUCCCAUUACAUUCAGAUUUCUUAUAAACUUAAUUACCAUAGCAACUAUCUUUGAAAUUUGUCGAACAUAUGGUCAACCUUAUCAGAAUGUGCUUGAUUAACAGACUGGCUGUAUCAAAUAUCACUCUGCAUAUAAUUGCUAAAUUAUUAUGUUUCACAAAGUUUAAUGAAUAAAGUUAUUAUAAAUAAUGAUUGCAAUAAAUUUAAACUUUUAACCAGGC
This 345-nucleotide long non-coding RNA is filed under the name Mytilus galloprovincialis (Mediterranean mussel). Lineage: Eukaryota; Metazoa; Mollusca; Bivalvia; Mytilida; Mytilidae. The record is from RNAcentral.